Molecule: ribosomal RNA, 713 nt
Filed under: uncultured bacterium
Lineage: Bacteria
Description: bacterial SSU rRNA
Rfam family: Bacterial small subunit ribosomal RNA
Source: RNAcentral
AUUAGAUACCCUGGUAGUCCAUGCUGUAAACGAUGAAUGCUAGGUGUGGGGGGACUGACCCCUUCCGUGCCGGAGUUAACACAAUAAGCAUUCCACCUGGGGAGUACGACCGCAAGGUUGAAACUCAAAGGAAUUGACGGGGGCCCGCACAAGCAGUGGAGUAUGUGGUUUAAUUCGAAGCAACGCGAAGAACCUUACCAGGUCUUGACAUCCAACUAACGAAGCAGAGAUGCAUUAGGUGCCCUUCGGGGAAAGUUGAGACAGGUGGUGCAUGGUUGUCGUCAGCUCGUGUCGUGAGAUGUUGGGUUAAGUCCCGCAACGAGCGCAACCCCCAUCGCCAGUUGCCAACAGGUAAAGCUGGGAACUCUGGCGAGACUGCCGGCGCAAGCUGCGAGGAAGGCGGGGAUGACGUCAAAUCAGCACGGCCCUUACGUCCGGGGCGACACACGUGUUACAAUGGCAGGUACAGCGGGAAGCCACCGGGCGACCGGGAGCAGAACCCGAAAACCUGUCUCAGUUCGGAUUGGAGUCUGCAACUCGACUCCAUGAAGCUGGAUUCGCUAGUAAUCGCGCAUCAGCCACGGCGCGGUGAAUACGUUCCCGGGCCUUGUACACACCGCCCGUCAAGCCAUGGGAGUCGGGAGUGCCUGAAGUACGUGACCGCAAGGAGCGUCCUAAGGCAAAACUGAUGACUGGGGCUAAGUCGUAACAAG